This 548-nucleotide ribosomal RNA is filed under the name uncultured soil archaeon. RNAcentral's name for it is "bacterial SSU rRNA". It matches the Rfam family "Archaeal small subunit ribosomal RNA", at positions 38 to 594 of the family's 1478-position model. The record is from RNAcentral.
GUGGGACUAAGCCAUGCGAGUCAACAUAGCAAUAUGUGGCAUACGGCUCAGUAACACGUAGUCAACAUGCCCAGGGGACGUGGAUAACCUCGGGAAACUGAGGAUAAACCACGAUAGGUCAUCACUUCUGGAAUGGGUAAUGACUUAAAUCUAUAUGGCCCCUGGAUUGGACUGCGGCCGAUCAGGCUGUUGGUGAGGUAAUGGCCCACCAAACCUGUAACCGGUACGGGCUCUGAGAGGAGGAGCCCGGAGAUGGGCACUGAGACAAGGGCCCAGGCCCUAUGGGGCGCAGCAGGCGCGAAACCUCUGCAAUAGGCGAAAGCUUGACAGGGUUACUCUGAGUGAUUUCCGUUAAGGAGAUCUUUUGGCACCUCUAAAAAUGGUGCAGAAUAAGGGGUGGGCAAGUCUGGUGUCAGCCGCCGCGGUAAUACCAGCACCCCGAGUGGUCGGGACGUUUAUUGGGCCUAAAGCAUCCGUAGCCGGUUCUACAAGUCUUCCGUUAAAUCCACCUGCUUAACAGAUGGGCUGCGGAAGAUACUAUAGAGCUA